CCUACGGGAGGCAGCAGUAGGGAAUAUUGCUCAAUGGGGGAAACCCUGAAGCAGCAACGCCGCGUGGAGGAAGAAGGUUUUCGGUAUGUAAAGCCCUUUUGUUAGAGAAGAUAAUGCCGGUAUUUAACCACUAAUCACCGGCUAACUCCGUGCCAGCUGACAUGGCCCUAUGGCGGGUGCAAGCGUUACUCGGAAUCACUGGGCGUAAAGGGCGCGUAGGCGGGAUAGCAAGUCCGAUGGGAAAUCCUAUGGUUUAACCAUAGAACUGCAGUUGAAACUGUUAGUCUAGAGUAUGGGAGAGGUAGGUGGAAUUCUUGGUGUAGGGGUGAAAUGCGUAGAGAUCAAGAGGAAUACUCAUUGCGAAGGCGACCUACUAGAACAUAACUGACGCUGAUGCACGAAAGCGUGGGGAGCGAACAGGAUUAGAUACCCGAGUAGUC
Molecule: ribosomal RNA, 440 nt
Filed under: uncultured bacterium
Lineage: Bacteria
Description: partial 16S ribosomal RNA
Rfam family: Bacterial small subunit ribosomal RNA
Source: RNAcentral